AUUGAACGCUAGCGGGAUGCUUUACACAUGCAAGUCGAACGAGUGGCGGACGGGUGAGUAAUAUAUCGGAACGUCCCCAGUAGCUGGGGAUAACUACUCGCAAGGGUGGCUAAUACCGCAUACUAUUGACGCGGCCGUUGUCGGAUUAGCUAGGUGGUGGGGUAAAGGAUCACAAAGGCAACGUUCCCUAGCUGGUGUGAGAGGACGACCAGCAACACUGGAACUGAGACACGGCCCAGACUCCUACGGGAGGCAGCAGUGGGGAAUUUUGGACAAUGGGGGAAACCCUGAUCCAGCCAUCCCGCGUGUAUGAGAAGGCCUUCGGGUUGUAAAGUACUUUUGGCAGGGAAGCGGUAUCUGAAGAAUAAGCACCGGCUAACUACGUGCCAGCAGCCGCGGUAAUUC
This 405-nucleotide ribosomal RNA is filed under the name uncultured bacterium. RNAcentral describes it as "partial 16S ribosomal RNA". It matches the Rfam family "Bacterial small subunit ribosomal RNA", at positions 30 to 526 of the family's 1533-position model. The record is from RNAcentral.